Long non-coding RNA from Equus caballus (horse), 1144 nucleotides. RefSeq lists it as uncharacterized. The record is from RefSeq and is a predicted model, not a curated record. NCBI's taxonomy places the organism in Eukaryota, Metazoa, Chordata, Mammalia, Perissodactyla, Equidae.
UCCACCCUCCCUGUACCCCAGCUGCUCCCAGCAACCAUCACUGUCCUUUUGGGGAUCCUCAGCUAAUCCUGGUGUCCCUCAGGCCUUACCUCCCACAGAGUGACUCAUGAACUAACUUUGCCCUAGAGAAUCCCAUCCUGCAAAGCCCACUUGUGAGAGGGGGCAGCGAGGCAGCUGAGCUGGAGUCUGAGGCAGGAGAUGGCUGCUAGGGAGGGGCCCCCUGUGUGGGGAGAGCUGACAAACUUUAGCAAAUGUGAUGUCUGCUCUUCAUCGUGGAAAUUAUUUCUUGUCGUGCCUGUAAGUCUCUUCCUUCAAACCUAAAUCAUUUUAAAAGUUUGUUUUUCUGCAGACAUAGCAGUUUUAUGUCAAUAGUAUUUUGGUUUCCACUGCGUCUACUGAAGCAAAACAAUGCCAAUAUGAAGACAACAGCAAAAGGUGAACAAGAAAAAUAAUCCGGAAGAGGUGGAUGUUAGCAGACCCAUCAUCUCAGGAAUGGUACCCCGCAUGAUAGCAUUUGUGAUCCCAGGAGUCCUUAGAAAUAUUGGAGAUGGCUCUUGGCUUCUCGCAGUUAUGCAGAUCUUCUCCAAGGCCCAGACUUGGAGAUGUUAAUUCCGUAAGAGAAGACUCUCCUGAAGCUAUUGGUCUUCCUGGACUCUGGUCAGGGGCUGAAGAGUGACUGGCAGAGCGGAGGCAAGGCCCAGGGAGACAGGAAGCCUGUUCUGUGAUGCUUGUCUCAGGUCUGUGCAGCAACUGAAGAGAGAAGCCACAAGAGGAGGAGAAGCUUGGUGGGCUCAUCAGCAACCGCUGUUUUUGUACCUAUCUGGGAGUGGGGUUGAGAAUGAUGUCAACAGCUUGGAACAACACCCCAGAGGCAACAGUGGGGCACUCUCUGAAGAAGUGUUGUCUCAUUCCUGUGAACAUCCCUGUGCUCCAGGAGGCACAGAAGAUGACGUGUGGGGAAAGGCAUGGACGUAGACAACUGUGAGCUGGAAAGUGAUUCAGAGGGUGUGGAUUCUGAAUGUGACCAAGUUUUAGGAUUACCUUAAGCAAUUUGCUUCACUGACAUUUUCCUUUUCAUGUAUGCAUGAGACUGAUCUAUAGUAAAAGCCUAUUCUAAAUAAAUCUUAAAAAGCUCUCUGUAAGU